This is a long non-coding RNA of Fukomys damarensis (Damara mole-rat), 466 nucleotides long. RefSeq lists it as uncharacterized. Lineage: Eukaryota; Metazoa; Chordata; Mammalia; Rodentia; Bathyergidae. The transcript has 3 exons. The record is from RefSeq and is a predicted model, not a curated record.
GGGAUUUUGAAGUCCUCAGGUAUGUGGCAUGAGAAAGAAACUAAACUACUGAGGCCACAUGACUGGCAUUAACCUCUUCAACCAACCAGAGCUAACCAAGGCACUCAAAGUGAAGAGACUAGCCUAUGACAUCACAAUACUGGAUGUUUGAUUUACUAAGGAAAAAAGUGGUUUCAAGUACGCCUCUCUCCCUCCCAUCUACUCUGUGGGCAUGGAUCACAGCAGUGACCCCAAGAAGGAAUGAAAGAAAAGCCAAUGCUAUUGAAGCAUCUACCAAAUGCCUCACCAUCCACUUGCACAUACAUCUCCCUCUUCAACAACUCUAGGUCACGUAUGUUACAGACCAGAAGCUCAAGAUCUUACGGUACUUGAACACGACUAGUGGUACUGUUUUGGGGGGCUUUCUGAAGCAAAUGUGGUCCAAGAGACCAUAUAAAAUAUUUAAAAUAACAAUAAUAAACCAAUG